CAAGCAUGGGGUCUGGCCACCAUGCACAGCCAGACACGCUGGCUGCUGCAGUUGGCUGGCGGCUCCAUGAGAGGUUGUGGCUGGACCAGAUGUACAAUAUACAGCUUCCACUGUGGGCACCUGUGUCUGGACAAGGGGAAUGCUGUGGCACCCAGAAGCUUGGAGACACUAGGAACUGGAGAGUCCCAAAGAGGGUGUCACAGCCCUGGCUCAGGGAGCACCCUAGGUCUGGGGUUCCCGAAGGGCCACAGCUCUUCUCCUUCUCAUCCUAGGCAACAUGGCCUCUCUCUUGUGGUGAAACAGUCACAUGAUGUCAGUCUCAGAGAGGUUUGAAAAACUAUUCCAUUGUGCCCAUUUUACAAUGAAGAAAUGGAAACUCCUAAGGCUAAAUGAAUAACUGAAAAAAAAAAAAACAGCCAGGGUAUGGUACACACAUUUCCUAAAGAUGAGGAAAUUGGUACUGACACUGACUUUCCCCAGCUCAGACCAGGCUCGAGUCUCCCAGUUGUGGAGGUGGUUGGUCCAUAGCACCUG
Molecule: long non-coding RNA, 534 nt
Filed under: Homo sapiens (human)
Lineage: Eukaryota; Metazoa; Chordata; Mammalia; Primates; Hominidae
Description: HSALNT0125226
Source: RNAcentral